AUUGAACGCCGGCGGCAGGCUUAACACAUGCAAGUCGAGCGGGGUGAUGGUGCUUGCACUAUCACUUAGCGGCGGACGGGUGAGUAAUGCUUAGGAAUCUGCCUAUUAGUGGGGGACAACAUCUCGAAAGGGAUGCUAAUACCGCAUACGUCCUACGGGAGAAAGCAGGGGAUCUUUAUGACCUUGCGCUAAUAGAUGAGCCUAAGUCGGAUUAGCUAGUUGGUGGGGUAAAGGACUACCAAGGCGACGAUCUGUAGCGGGUCUGAGAGGAUGAUCCGCCACACUGGGACUGAGACACGGCCCAGACUCCUACGGGAGGCAGCAGUGGGGAAUAUUGGACAAUGGGGGGAACCCUGAUCCAGCCAUGCCGCGUGUGUGAAGAAGGCCUUAUGGUUGUAAAGCACUUUAAGCGAGGAGGAGGCUCUUUUGGUUAAUACCCAGAAUGAGUGGACGUUACUCGCAGAAUAAGCACCGGCUAACUCUGUGCCAGCCGCCGCGGUAA
RNAcentral lists this ribosomal RNA (502 nucleotides) under uncultured bacterium. RNAcentral's name for it is "partial 16S ribosomal RNA". It matches the Rfam family "Bacterial small subunit ribosomal RNA", at positions 30 to 523 of the family's 1533-position model. The record is from RNAcentral.